AAAAUUUUUCGAAAGAAAAAAAAAAAUCUGUUCUUAUCAGUUUAAUAUCUGAUAUGCCCCCGAUUCGGGGGCAACGUAUUAAACGUAUUUUUAGAACAGGGAGCCGAAUAAGGGGCUCCGUUCGCUCCGUUCGCUCCACGCAUCGCCUCCGGGAACGGUGCCCCCUUU
This is a small nuclear RNA of Astatotilapia calliptera (eastern happy), 168 nucleotides long. Its record names the gene U2. It matches the Rfam family "U2 spliceosomal RNA". From Rfam's summary of the family: U2 is a small nuclear RNA (snRNA) component of the spliceosome (involved in pre-mRNA splicing). Lineage: Eukaryota; Metazoa; Chordata; Actinopteri; Cichliformes; Cichlidae. The record is from Ensembl.